This 416-nucleotide ribosomal RNA is filed under the name uncultured eukaryote. RNAcentral's name for it is "bacterial SSU rRNA". It matches the Rfam family "Eukaryotic small subunit ribosomal RNA", at positions 592 to 1013 of the family's 1831-position model. The record is from RNAcentral.
CAAUAGCGUAUAUUAAAGUUGUUGCGGUUAAAAAGCUCGUAGUUGGAUUUCUGCCGAGGACGACCGGUCCGCCCUGUGGGUGAGCAUCUGGAUCGGCCUGGGCAUCUUCUUGGGGAACGUAGCUGCACUUGACUGUGUGGUGCGGUAUCCAGGACUUUACCUUGAGGAAAUUAGAGUGUUUCAAGCAGGCGCACGCCUUGAAUACAUUAGCAUGGAAUAAUGAUAUAGGACCUUGGUACUAUUUUGUUGGUUUGCGCACUGAGGUAAUGAUUAAGAGGGACAGUUGGGGGUAUUUGUAUUCCAUUGUCAGAGGUGAAAUUCUUGGAUUUUUGGAAGACAAACUACUGCGAAAGCAUUUACCAAGGAUGUUUUUCAUUAAUCAAGAACGAAAGUUAGGGGAUCGAAGACGAUCAGAU